AUCUAUCUCAUCUAUGUCAAGAACGUCGAAUUAGCGAACAAAAAAAACCACUGAGAAACGAAUCAAGACCGACACUUCCCCCGAUGACUUUAGGAUAAUGGAAGCCGACGACGAAUGCACAAGCCCAGUGUAAAGUAUGUGUGUUUAUAGAACUGUUUGUAUUGGUAUUAGUUUUCUGAACUGUAUCUCAGCAAAUUUGCUACUACCAGACUAAAAACGAGGUGUUCUUCGAACUUGCCAAAAAAAAAAGUGUUACGGCACAAUGCUCUGCUAUCAGCACCUCAGCCUAUUUUAUCGGGAUCUGUACAAAGAAUUAAACACGUGGAAAUUAGACGACAGUUUUUUUUUCUACUCUAUCGGCUAAAUUAAAAUUUUUCUCCUUGAGAUCCUUUGAAGAUCAUUCUAUGGCGUCGAAUGCAAUCUCUCUAGAAGAAGCUAAUUCCAGUAACAUCAUCCAUAUUGAGACCAUUAAUACAGUCUUGUUACCUGUUCGGUACAAGUAUGAUUUUUACGAGAAGGUCUUGAAAAAUCCAAAGUACUUCGGCAGCUUAGCCUACUACGACGGAAACCCUGUCGGAGCCAUAUGCUGUCGAUUGGAAGAAAACGUCUCCAGUUCAAUAAAAUCUAGGGUAUAUAUCAUGACACUAGGAGUUCUGGCACCUUACAGAAAAUUAGGUAUUGGAACCAAACUCUUAAAUGUUGCGUUUGACUUGGCUAGAGAUGCUCAUACCUCGCAAAUCUGUCUGCACGUCCAGCAAGGUAAUGAUGCCAUUGAUUUUUAUAAAAAUGCUGGGUUCCAGGUUGACUAUAUUCAAGAAAAUUACUACACACAAGUGAGACCGUCCUCUGCCGCAGUGCUGGUGAAAACUAUCGAAUUGGACGCGUGACCAAACAGAUUCUAGAAAAAGUAUAGGUCUUACGUGUAGUUGACUCCACACUUGUUACCCCAAGAAAGGCAGGAAUGCGCGUAUCGUGUUAUGGUGACUGGAUUUGGGUCUUAUAAAUCACUGAGAGAUGUCAAAAAACAAGCAUGCGGAACAGACGUGAGCUUGGAAAGAAAAAAGUUUUGAUCUUGUAUAUGACGUAUGAAAUCAAAUGACAGAGUAAAAUUAGAGAUUCCAGACAAGAACAAAGCGUGACCCCUUUUUUAAAGAGACACGAAAUGAAGGCAACAUGUAUGCUUUCUCUAAUUCGACUGAAAAUUUUUUUAGAUAGAAAUUGGUAAUAGGAGAAGGGAGCGUCAGAAUAGCCGACUUCGAGCUCUUCUAUAUCAGUAGAGUAGACAUA
Molecule: long non-coding RNA, 1287 nt
Organism: Schistocerca gregaria
Lineage: Eukaryota; Metazoa; Arthropoda; Insecta; Orthoptera; Acrididae
Exons: 4
Source: RefSeq, a predicted model, not a curated record